This 434-nucleotide ribosomal RNA is filed under the name uncultured Lachnospiraceae bacterium. Its description in RNAcentral is "bacterial SSU rRNA". It matches the Rfam family "Bacterial small subunit ribosomal RNA", at positions 341 to 792 of the family's 1533-position model. Lineage: Bacteria; Bacillati; Bacillota; Clostridia; Lachnospirales; Lachnospiraceae. The record is from RNAcentral.
ACGGGAGGCAGCAGUGGGGAAUAUUGCACAAUGGGGGAAACCCUGAUGCAGCGACGCCGCGUGAGUGAAGAAGUUAUUCGUAAUGUAAAGCUCUAUCAGCAGGGAAGAAAAUGACGGUACCUGACUAAGAAGCCCCGGCUAACUACGUGCCAGCAGCCGCGGUAAUACGUAGGGGGCAAGCGUUAUCCGGAUUUACUGGGUGUAAAGGGAGCGUAGACGGCUUAGCAAGUCUGAUGUGAAAGGCAGGGGCUCAACUCCUGGACUGCAUUGGAAACUGUUAAGCUAGAGUGCCGGAGAGGUAAGCGGAAUUCCUAGUGUAGCGGUGAAAUGCGUAGAUAUCAGGAGGAACACCGGUGGCGAAGGCGGCCUGCUGGACUGUAACUGACGCUGAGGCUCGAAGGCGUGGGGAGCAAACAGGAUUAGAUACCCUGGUA